RNAcentral lists this unclassified non-coding RNA (434 nucleotides) under Hevea brasiliensis (rubber tree). The record is from RNAcentral. Lineage: Eukaryota; Viridiplantae; Streptophyta; Magnoliopsida; Malpighiales; Euphorbiaceae.
AGCUGAUCCCAACUAGAUUGGAAUUAAGGCUUUGUUGUUGUUGGAUUAGAUGUGUGUGGAAUUGAUUUCAUUUCCAAAUAAAUUCGAUUAAUAAAGUUCAUUUGAAAAUAAAAUUCUGAGGCUUGGUAUUCUAAUUGUUGAUUAUAGAAUUAUUUUCAAAAGUCAGUAAAAGUCAAAGAACAAUGCAUUACAUAAGGUGGAAGAAAUUAUUGCCAAAGCUGACAAUUGAUCUAUACCUGCGUGAUGCGUAAACAUUGUUUCUCUUAUCACACUUUUGCCUCAUUUUUAGCAGUUAUAAAUGGAGAAACACAGCCAAUAUCACAACAGAGUAGCUAUGCAAAAUGGGAACAAAGGAAUAAAAAUGCAACAGAGAUGUUGACAUUGUGGCUCUAAUUAUUACCAUUACAUAAAUUAUAUGUAGUAGAUGAAGAAAA